UACAGAGGGUGCAAACGUUGCUCGGAAUUAUUGGGCGUAAAGCGCGUGUAGGCGGCUUGUUAAGUUGGUCGUGAAAGCCCAUGGCUCAACCAUGGAAGUGCAACCAAAACUGGCAAGCUUGAGUUCUGAAGAGGAUGGCGGAAUUCCCAGUGUAGAGGUGAAAUUCGUAGAUAUCGGGAGGAACACCAGUGGCGAAGGCGGCGAUCUGGGAAGAUACUGACGCUGAGGUGCGAAAGCGUGGGGAGCAAACAGG
This 253-nucleotide ribosomal RNA is filed under the name uncultured bacterium. RNAcentral describes it as "partial 16S ribosomal RNA". It matches the Rfam family "Bacterial small subunit ribosomal RNA", at positions 524 to 776 of the family's 1533-position model. The record is from RNAcentral.